UACAGAGGUCCCAAGCGUUGUUCGGAUUCACUGGGCGUAAAGGGUGCGUAGGUGGUGAGGUAAGUCGGAUGUGAAAGCUCGGAGCUCAACUCCGAAAUGGCAUUGGAAACUACCUUGCUCGAGGGUUGGAGGGGGGACUGGAAUGCUUGGUGUAGCAGUGAAAUGCGUAGAUAUCAAGCGGAACACCAGUGGCGAAGGCGAGUCCCUGGACAACUCCUGACACUGAGGCACGAAAGCUAGAGGAGCAAACAGG
RNAcentral lists this ribosomal RNA (253 nucleotides) under uncultured bacterium. Its description in RNAcentral is "partial 16S ribosomal RNA". It matches the Rfam family "Bacterial small subunit ribosomal RNA", at positions 524 to 776 of the family's 1533-position model. The record is from RNAcentral.